GGAGGGGUGGCAGAGUGGUCGAAUGCGCAUCCUUGGAAAGGAUGUGUGCUAGAAAUAGCACCACGAGUUCGAAUCUCGUUCCCUCCGCAA
RNAcentral lists this transfer RNA (90 nucleotides) under Candidatus Wolfebacteria bacterium. Its description in RNAcentral is "tRNA-Ser". It matches the Rfam family "tRNA". Rfam says of the family: Transfer RNA (tRNA) molecules are approximately 80 nucleotides in length. The record is from RNAcentral. Lineage: Bacteria; Candidatus Wolfeibacteriota.